RNAcentral lists this unclassified non-coding RNA (350 nucleotides) under soil metagenome. RNAcentral describes it as "partial contains 5.8S ribosomal RNA, internal transcribed spacer 2, and large subunit ribosomal RNA". The stretch from base 1 to 120 matches the Rfam family "5.8S ribosomal RNA", at positions 35 to 154 of the family's 154-position model. The record is from RNAcentral.
GAUGAAGAACGUAGCGAAAUGCGAUAAGUAAUGUGAAUUGCAGAAUUCAGUGAAUCAUCGAAUCUUUGAACGCACAUUGCGCCCACCAGUAUUCUGGCGGGCAUGCCUGUUCGAGCGUCAUUUCAACCCUCAAGCCCAGCUUGGUGUUGGGGAUCGGCACAGGCGCCCUCGGGCGCCCGCCGUCCCCUAAAUCUAGUGGCGGUCCCGCUGCAGCCUCCUCUGCGUAGUAGUUUUCUCCUCGCAAGGGCAGCUCGGUGGCGACCUCGCCGUAAAACCCCCAACUUCUGAAAGGUUGACCUCGAAUCAGGUAGGAAUACCCGCUGAACUUAAGCAUAUCAAUAAGCGGAGGA